AUAUAUAUAUAUAUAUAUAUAUAUAUAUAUAUAUAUGCUGACGGACAUGGGCAGCUUACUUUGUUGGGGGAAAGACAAAGACACGAAAUCCCAUUCUAAAGUUUCAGCAGGAACCACUGAGAAGCGCACAACACAUUCCCACCACUGCAGACUCCUGCUGUGCAUCCCAAAGCUGCCUCUCAGCAGAGUCGGCGGAGAUACAGCAGCUGGGAACACUGAAAUGCUUCUACAAGCAUCCUCCUUUAUUCCGAUUUUGUGUCUUUAGCCUAUUUUUUUUUUUCCCCAAAGUGUGCCGGCGCUGUGAAAUUACAAUGUUACAGUAUUCCUACAGCAUUGACUGCGUAUGCUGUCAGCCAUGUGCAGACAAAGCAAAAUGGCACUUUAUCCCCAACAUAUACUGAAUGUUUGUCUAUUUGGGACUAUAUUCCACUGAUGUGUUGUAGCACUGUCUCGUGUCGAGCUGAAAGUCAAGGUUAACAGCAGCAAACACAACAUUAUUUAAAUAGGCUUUGUGGUUAUGUCUGCCCUUUAAUCAGAAACUUAAUGAGACAGUUUCAAAUGUAUAUUGCAUGUGUCUGCACUGGCCACAGUUUGGGGUCAAAGGUCAAAUCUGAUCAAAGUCUUCCAAACGGCAAAACAAAUAAAGACAAUGAGAAUUCUUAAUUCCAGUUUAGACACAGUGUUAAACCUUUUCUAUUUAAUGAGAAUAUAACACGUAUCACAGGGCAAUUUAAAACAAUGGAAAGCAAUGAAAUCAAAGGAUGAAAUCACCAGAGUCAUUACUGAACUCCAAACGCAGGACCAAUCAAUAGGUUUAGGGUUUUUUUUAAAUGAAAGAAGCAGCUUUCUGUCUGCUGCAACUUUGGCACUUGUUACACAAAUGCCAAGUCAAAUUAUGCCUCACUACUGGAUAAUAUUUUGUUGAAGCUCCAAUUAUUAUCUAACUUGAGCUCUGUAAAUGUCGUCCACUCACAAAAACACUUUUUUUGGACCAUUUUCAAUGAUUAUUUUUCAUUUUGUUUGUAAUUUUCAAUCAUUAAUUGGUUUGAAUUCACAUCGAAUGUUAUGUAAUUUUUCAGAAACCUGAGAGGCAAACACAUUGUUUUAACUAAGGAAUCACAAGAAUCAUAUGCCACUAGAUUUGCCGUUUCUUGCAGCCUAUUCCAGUGUCCAUAAAUGUGUGCAAAAAAAAAAAGGAAAUGAAAAAAAGAAAAGAAAAAAGAGUGGUCUCUGCAUCCUUCUAGCUAGAAUAAGAUCCCUCUUUGUAUUUAUAGCUUCACCUGCAAUUUGCUUUCUCAUAAUUGCGAUUGUGUAAAAAGAUAUUAGGUGCACUGGAAAACUGUAAUGGGGGCGCGGCUGAAAGUAAUAGCAGUCAACUGGCAACCCAUAAUAAACUGCGGGGUAUAAGAACGUGGACAUGGUUUAAUGCUCCGAAGCUUGCUGCUGCGUGUUACAAUUGAUUUUCAGAUUAAUGCCUUUGCCAAUGACUUGUAGUGGCAUUAAAAGUAAAACAUAAACCGUAACGGUUGGUAUUUCUCUAGCUGGAUACGUGGAGGAUGUCCGCGAUAGGUUAUGCUGCCAGGCACGCGCUUGUAAAAAUCUGCCAUUUAACCUCACUGAAUAUCCAUUUUGUCCUGCAGCAAAGAUGGAGCUGAGGGUUUGGAAAACAGUGAGCUUAUUCUCCUGCUGCACUCACACCACAUCCUAUCCUACGCGCCGGCCACUGAAUUAUUCAACUGUUUUUUACCUGUGAGGCAAGCAGGCCCUGUUCAGGGCUGCCCCAGUAUGAUCUAUAAUUAAAUAUAAUGCAACAUGAAAGUGCAUAAGACAUGAGACUUGGGUUUGGACAAGUCACUCAGACUUCCUCCUAGUUAUCCACUUUCUGCCGGUUCAUAUGCUGACUGCAGCUGUUUUUAUUUUUGAGUAUUUGUUUUACAUGCUUUUUCAGCCUUUUCUUGCCCACCGUAGUGCAUUUUUUCUUCUUUUUCCUUUGCUUGGCUACUCUCUGAGUAAGAGGUCUUGAGUGUUUGCUCUCAGCAGUUGACAUUUGGAGGACAAUAAGAUCAUGUCAUGUUUGAUUGUGCUAUUAUUGUCUUGCUGUUCUCUAAGUACACAGUAUUACACCCAAUAGGGCCCCUGUCUCUUGCAGCAUGUUUGCUUUGUUCCCCCUGGCAGCUCAAUCAUAAAGCCUUUCCGAGCGCACACUCAGAAAUAAUCCUGCUGUGCAUUUAAAAAAUAUGACCAUAACAAAAACGUUUACAGUCUCUCUAAAUUGACCAUUACCUCAACCACAGUUCGCGCAGAAACGGACACAACAAGUAAGGACAAGCUUACCGAUAUGCUUUGAAUCAAUUCUUAACUCUGCAUCUUUGUGUGAGACUGUGAGUAGGGGGGGAGAAAUGUUACUUAGCAAAAUCAAACAGUGAUAAACUUUUAGUGUAUAUGGAAAUCUCAGUGACAGUUACCCUUGCACAGACACACACACACACACACACAAACACACGCACACAAACACACCACAGUGGGAUCCUCACAUCUGUCCAAAUGUGAACUGUAAUAUCUCCACCUUGCAGGCGGCUGUGGGGAGGGAAGGCUUAGCGGCUCGCUCACUUUCUUCCUUCACUGGCUGUGAAGUGGAGUCUGAGGUGUCAGGAGUUUUUUUUUCCUUCCUCCACCCCCCCUCCUCUCUCUCUCUUACUCUUACUUCAUCUUUUCACAGCAAAUACGUCUCUAUAGUGGUGGAGGCUGUGCUUUACAGGGAGCACUGUGAGCGCUGAUAAGAAGCUGAAAGCAGAUAUGUACAUCCUGGAGUGAGCUGCAGAGACACAGUCAGGGAGACAGAAAAACAGAUCACGUACAUUAUGUUUCUAGGAUUUACAUGUGGCAUAUAAUACAGAUGUUUUAGCAGAGGGUGACUGUAAAUAGCCGGCCAACUUCUUCCUUUGCACCUAGAAGCCUAGUGACGGGAUUGUGAAUGCUUGCAAUGAUAAAGGAUAGAGGAUGCAACGCCAUGUCUCAUUUUGCCUCCCAGACAAAUUGAGUUGACCCUUCCAUCACUGUUGUGCCCCCCCAAAAAAUUCAAAAAAUAAUCUCCGUCAACAGGCAAUAUAAACAGAAUGAGUGUUUAUUCCCUACAGCCAUGUUCUGGGAGUAUUUAGAGAGUUGCACCCCCCCAGACAAGCUUUUACCUCUUCCCCUUUAUAAAGACCCAGCAAUUACUCUGGUUUGCUGACACCCUGAAUACCACUACAACAAUGCCUCUUCUUUCUCGGCAAGACCCCCCACCCCCUCCAAACGCACACACGCGCGCACACACACACACACACGCACAUCUUUCUACCAUCCUCCCCAACCAAACACCCUCUUUGCCCCCCUUAUUCCCCUCCUCAAAUACAAAGUUGCCCAUGGUUGCUAUGGCUACUGCAGGAGUUCAUAAAUCCCAGCGCACAGGGACUUGAAAAUGAUCAGGAGGAUUUUUUUUGGGGGGGGGGUAGGAUGAAGGAUUUGGAUGAGGAAGGUAAAAGGGAGAGAGCGGGUGAGGCAGGGAAGACGCCCGUCCCUCUACUCCACUACGCGCCCCCGCAGCAGCAGAUGGUGCCGUGCGGCGCCGCCAUGCCACCGUGGUCUCCUUCUGAUCGAGCGCCGCUGCCAUAAGGAGGCAGAUGUGAUUGCCUUUACCAGAAAUCCUAGGAAAGAGGCCUUGGAAGUCGACUCCCUGCUGUUAAUGCAGUGAGAGAGGAGCCGAGGAGCGGCCGGGCAAGCGAAGACAGCGGCCACCUCACACCAGGUGAUUGACUGAACAAACUCCAUUCUGAGCAGUAAUAAUACAGCAUCAGUAGGUGCUGGGCUCGCAGAACGGUGACAUUCGUAAUGCUAUUAUGUGUUCAGAAUCACAUUUGCAAUCUGAGGAACUUGACUGUCCUCUAUUUUCUAUUUUUUUUACUCCUUGCCAGUGGAACUAUUGCAGCACUUCGAUUGUGGCUCUCUGGUAAAACGUUUUGCUUUUAUAUCGGAAUUAUAUCAAAAUUACAAAGAACUAUCUGGUUGCGAUAUUUUCAAACAAUUUCAAAAUAAAGUAUCAAUAGUUUAAAUUCCACAAUAAACUGUAUAUGAUAUAGUUCAACAGUAGUAGAAGUAACUAUUCCUUAUCUGCAAUGCAGAUAAAAAUUCACUAAAGGUAUCCUUGGUUGUUAGAUUACUUUUCCAAUUUCAUCUGAAAAUAUUUGUUAUAUUUUUAUUUCUUUCCAGCUGGACUGCUUUCUCCCCCAUUUACACAUCUUAGCCUGCUUGUAUUAUGGUCAUCAAAUAUCCCAUAAUUAAUUAGCAAAAAAACAGAUCUUCAUAAAAAAUGUCAAACAUGCUGGAAGUGCGAACAAAUAAGGUAACAUUUUGGUGCAUACAAUAGUAUUAUUACCUAAAAUAUGAAAAGAAUCACAGGAUUUUGGCAUUGUUCAGGUUACAGUGGCUAUAAAAUAUUGAUUCAUUAUUCUUUUUUAUAUUAUUUCUGUCAAGCCACUUUUUAUAAUCAUGUGAGUAAGGAUUAAUUUUGAGGGCACUAAGAAAUUACUGUUUUGGUUUUUUUUAACAAUUAUUAAUUUCAAACUUUAGCCAAUGUAACCAGAGCUGCAGACAUACUGGAUGGAAAACAAUGGUGCCGGUCAAAAAAAAGGACUCAUACAUGAAGAAAUUGUCUAUUUAACACCGAAACCUUUCUUUGCAUAUUUGAAGCUGGUGGCAGAUGCUGUUCUUCUGCAAGUGGAUUAGCUCCUUUUUCAUUUUAGUUGAGCUGAGAGGUGUAUUUGUUGCAUCACAUGUUAUUCUGCAUGGACAUACAUUCAUCCACACAGAUGUGUAUGGUUUGCCAUUUCAUUGUGAUCGUAUUGCCUGCAAGUGGUCCAAUGCCAGCUACUAAAACAUUGUGGUUGAAGAUGAUGACUUGGCCAAAAUCCAAGCCUUGUUAUACUGUAUGGUAGCAUGAAAUGAAAUUCUUUGCAUGCUGGGGUAGGCUCCGGCCACAGAAAAUGUAUGGAAUUUAUUUAUAGCCUCAACCCGAUUUCCACCCAAGCUGGGCUGUGCCUGGUAUUUCCAGAUGUUUAAUUGUAGCCCCGUCAGUUCCCAUGUAAAGUUUUUCAUUUGAGUCGACAGUUUCAAACAGCGAGUGGGUUAAGGAAAAAAAGAAAAUCUGCCUAAACAUAAAGAGUCUAUCAAAAGAGCCAUACAAGAUACAGCAGAAUGCCUCUGGGAUGAUGACGGUCUGAAUUAGACCGAGGUAUAUUCUCUGAAAACUUAGAGCCUAAUUGUAAACCGGUCCCUCUGCCACAAUUUCAGAGCUCAAAGUUGAUUCCAUAUAGCUGAUUUGAAAAGACUUGAAAGAGAUGAGAGAACAAAACCACUUAACCAAGAGGCAAAAAUACAUAUAUACGAUGGAUUUAGCCCAUCCAAACUCCCAGCCCCUCUACAGCAGUUGGAAGUCAACAAGACCCAAGGGAAAAUGGUUUAGGGAUCCAUUUGGAUUGGGACCCACAGUACCUUUGUAUCUCAUUGGCAGGGAGAAGUUGCCCUCCGGCUUCAAGACGAAACCACUCUUGCCUUUCUUUUGAGAUCCUGCCUGUUGUUGCUGUCUAUUUGUGUAGGUAGGGGAGCAUGCUAGUGACUCAGGCAGACAGCUGUAAUUAAGGCCAGCUUCUCAGCCGGAUGAGCAGCAAGAGAUAAUGCGGAUGUGUACAAACUACCAACACCCCCCCAUCCUACUCACAAACACACACACACACACACACACACACACACACAGACCUAUACGCAGCAUGGACAACUUCUGUGGCACACCCGAUUUGCAGUCAUACGCAGAGGCAUGUGCAAAAAGAUGAAAGCAUCAGAAAAUCUCUGUAAUGAAUUGAACAAGUAGGACACUGCUCAUUAGAGAUGCGUUUGUGUAUGUGAGGCACUGGCAAUUCAUUAUUUUCAGCCCGACAAAUUCCGGUGCAAGUCGGCGGAAUCAGAAAGAGAUUUUAAUAUGUUUUCAACACAGAAAAUCUGUUCAGCAGUUAGUCAGGAUGGGCGCACACCAAAAGAGGAAGACACAUAUUUGCUUUAAAAGGCUUCUGCUGUCUUGAUGGUUUUUUUAAUUUUUUAUUGUGGUGUAACGUGACUAUGAAAGGACUUAAAAUUCAUUUUGUUUAUAUUUGGAGGGUUAAAGAUGAGAGCCGAAAGGGAAUGCAUUCAUGUCCCAUGGGCAAUGUCAGAAGACUCACAGAUGGAGCAAUAGAGUAAAUAAGGUUUCACAAGACAGAGAAGAAGGUGAAACCAUAUAUGUACUCUGACCAGAAUCCAUGCAAUGCUAAUAAGUAGCCCAGACAAAUAUGAAAGCAAUUCAAGCAAGUCCAACUGUACCCUACAACAACCCUAAAGGCCUGUGCACUGUACUGUAACUCUGUCAUAACUCAAUUCCUCCUCUUCCGCCACCUUUUCUGGACCUGCUAAGCCCCGGUCCACCCCAGUGCCCAGAUUGCACCGUUGCUUGGCUGCCUGAGGCUUCAUUGAAUAGACACUUCCUGUACUUUAGAGCCGUGAUGAACCAGCCCCUUUAUGCUCCCAAGCACUCGUCGCUUUUGUCGUCAGUACGCCUCACCUCCCCUUCACCGGUAGCGUAGAGAAAAACAACAGAGAGCUCCCAGGGCCUAGUCAAACACACAAGCACAAUCAUGUUAACCCACCAUUGUUACCCCCAAUCUCCUCCAUUGAGGUUUUUAAAGAGUGGUGGACUGAGGACCUUAUUGCAAUAAACCUCUCAACAUGUUUGGAGCCCCAUGGCCCCUUUCUGGGCCGGGGCGUUGCCUCCAAUUACGAUGGCAUUGAGACCCCUCUUCUGUAAUUACGUACAAGCCUUCUUCCACACUGCUCUACAAAGAGAGCCUCCUGUUUUGCAUGUGAAUCAACUGGGCCACGUUGUUAAAGUCAGCUUUGCUUAGGCUGUAUUUACCAUGCUAACGAUGUCCCUCUAAAUAUUAGAUGGAUGCAGAAUAAAUUGGUUACAAUGCUCUUAACUUUAUGAAGGCGACUGGUCUACAACUCACGUGAAUAAACAGAGCACAGAUAAGAGACAUUUCAAGUGGUUUGAAUUAUAUUUCGUAAAUAUUGAUGAUUUGCAUUUUUUUCUCUCCAUGUGUCAUGUUACAAGUAAGAAUAUUUCUUGUACGGAAACUGGAAACAUGGUGAUAUUCUAUUUUCUUUGAAAUGCAACUGGGUGAUGAGACAAUCAUUUAAAUUACUGCAUCUUUGUGUGUUUAUUUUUUUCUUGAUUCAGUGGAUUAACUGGUGCCAAAACUACCAGACAAAUUAUCCUAAGCAGUGUGCAAUGCUCAGUCAAGUUAGGUACUUUUUUUAAUUGAUUAUUCAUUUUCGAAUCGCAGUGAAAAGAAGCUCUAGUGUGACUUUUCUGAAGUGAUAUGGCAGUAUGGUCUGAUUCAAAAUGAAUGAUCCAGUCACUUUACAGUAAUAUGAACUCACGUCUCAACUUGUCCAACUGUACUCAGUUUACUUCAGCUGUUUCAGGAAACCUAUUGUUGACUUUGUAUCAUCCUGCCCACUCAAAGUUUCUGCGCUGCCAUGACGUUUAGGAGACUGGGGUGAGAGGCUCAAAGCUAUUUAACAUUGCGGGGGUUUUUCUCUGUUUGGGGGGAAUGACACAUUCUAUCCAGCCCACUAGGAACAAUGCCACAAGAAACCCGCAGAUAUCACUUCUGAAAACUGUUAAAUGUUUCAGGGUGGACUACGGUGGAAAUAAACUUGAGCUUUAUUGUG
Scophthalmus maximus (turbot) is the source of this 7800-nucleotide long non-coding RNA. RefSeq lists it as uncharacterized. The record is from RefSeq and is a predicted model, not a curated record. The transcript is spliced from 3 exons. NCBI's taxonomy places the organism in Eukaryota, Metazoa, Chordata, Actinopteri, Pleuronectiformes, Scophthalmidae.